GGCGUAAAGCGAGCGCAGGCGGUCUUUUAAGUCUGAUGUGAAAGCCCACGGCUCAACCGUGGAGGGUCAUUGGAAACUGGAAGACUUGAAUGCAGAAGAGGAAAGUGGAAUUCCAUGUGUAGCGGUGAAAUGCGUAGAUAUAUGGAGGAACACCAGUGGGCGAAGGCGCCUUUCUGGUCUGUAAUUGACGCUGAGGCUCGAAAGCGUGGGGAGCGAACAGGAUUAGAUACCCUGGUAGUCCACGCCGUAGACGAUGAGUGCUAAGUGUUGGACGGGUUUCCGCCCUUCAGUGCUGGAGCUAACGCAUUAAGCACUCCGCCUGGGGAGUACGGCCGCAAGGCUGAAACUCAAAGGAAUAGACGGGGACCCGCACAAGCGGUGGAGCAUGUGGUUUAAUUCGAAGCAACGCGAAGAACCUUACCAGAUCUUGACAUCCUCUGACCACCCAAGAGAUUGGGCUUUCCCUUCGGGGACAGAGUGACAGGUGGUGCAUGGUUGUCGUCAGCUCGUGUCGUGAGAUGUUGGGUUAAGUCCCGUAACGAGCGCAACCCUUAUUGUUAGUUGCCAGCAUUCAGUUGGGCACUCUAGCGAGACUGCCGGUGAUAAACCGGAGGAAGGCGGGGAUGACGUCAAAUCAUCAUGCCCCUUAUGAUCUGGGCUACACACGUGCUACAAUGGAUGGUACAACGAGUCGCGAGACCGCGAGGUUUAGCUAAUCUCCUAAAGCCAUUCUCAGUUCGGAUUGCAGGCUGCAACUCGCCUGCAUGAAGCCGGAAUCGCUAGUAAUCGCGGAUCAGAACG
RNAcentral lists this ribosomal RNA (801 nucleotides) under uncultured bacterium. RNAcentral's name for it is "bacterial SSU rRNA". It matches the Rfam family "Bacterial small subunit ribosomal RNA", at positions 557 to 1356 of the family's 1533-position model. The record is from RNAcentral.